RNAcentral lists this ribosomal RNA (483 nucleotides) under uncultured bacterium. RNAcentral describes it as "partial 16S ribosomal RNA". It matches the Rfam family "Bacterial small subunit ribosomal RNA", at positions 28 to 507 of the family's 1533-position model. The record is from RNAcentral.
GACGAACGCUGGCGGCGUGCUUAACACAUGCAAGUCGAACGCUGAAGCUCAGCUUUUGUUGGGUGGAUGAGUGGCGAACGGGUGAGUAACACGUGAGUAACCUGCCCCCUUCUUUGGGAUAACGCCCGGAAACGGGUGCUAAUACUGGAUAUUCACUGGUCUUCGCAUGGGGGUUGGUGGAAAGGGUUUUUCUGGUGGGGGAUGGGCUCGCGGCCUAUCAGCUUGUUGGUGGGGUGAUGGCCUACCAAGGCUUUGACGGGUAGCCGGCGUGAGAGGGUGACCGGGCACAUUGGGACUGAGAUACGGCCCAGACUGCUACGGGAGGCGGCAGUGGGGAAUAUUGCACAAUGGGCGCAAGCAUGAUGCAGCGAUGCGGCGUGAGGGAUGGAGGCCUGCGGGUUGUGAACCUCUGGCGCGCAUGGUCAAGCCGUAACAAUGGUUGUGGUGAGGGUAGUGGGUAAAGAAGCGCCGGCUAACUACGUG